Molecule: ribosomal RNA, 366 nt
Filed under: uncultured eukaryote
Lineage: Eukaryota
Description: partial 18S ribosomal RNA
Rfam family: Eukaryotic small subunit ribosomal RNA
Source: RNAcentral
CAAUAGCGUAUAUUAACGUUGUUGCAGUUAAAAAGCUCGUAGUUGGAUUUCUGGAGGGAGCGUCGGCCCGUAUUUACGAGUGCGUGACGUCUCUGUCCAUCCUUGCGGGAAGGCACGGCAUUGAUUUGUUGUGUCGGAUCGCAUCAUUUACUGUGAAAAAAUUAGAGUGUUCAAAGCAGGCUUUCGCUUGAAUACAUUAGCAUGGAAUAAUAAGAUAGGACUUAGGUGCUAUUUUGUUGGUUGAGCCUAAAGUAAUGAUUAAUAGGGAUAGUUGGGGGCACCUGUAUUGCGUUGUCAGAGGUGAAAUUCUUGGAUUUACGCAAGACAAACAGCUGCGAAAGCGUCUGCCAAGGAUGUUUUCAUUAA